UUGCAUAUCCAAAAAGCGGAGGAAAAGAAACCAACAGGGAUUGCCCUAGUAACGGCGAGUGAAGCGGCAACAGCUCAAAUUUGAAAGCUGGCCUUCGGGUCCGCAUUGUAAUUUGUAGAGGAUGCUUUGGGGCAGCCGCCUGUCUAAGUUCCUUGGAACAGGACGUCAUAGAGGGUGAGAAUCCCGUAUGUGACAGGACAUGGCACCCUAUGUAAAGCUCCUUCGACGAGUCGAGUUGUUUGGGAAUGCAGCUCUAAAUGGGAGGUAAAUUUCUUCUAAAGCUAAAUACCGGCGAGAGACCGAUAGCGCACAAGUAGAGUGAUCGAAAGAUGAAAAGCACUUUGGAAAGAGAGUUAAAAAGCACGUGAAAUUGUUGAAAGGGAAGCGCUUGCAAUCAGACUUGUUUAAACUGUUCGGCCGGUCUUCUGACCGGUUUACUCAGUUUGGACAGGCCAGCAUCAGUUUCGGCGGCCGGAUAAAGGCCCUAGGAAUGUGACCCCCUCUUCGGAGGGGGUGUUAUAGCCUGGGGUGUAAUAUCGGCCAGCCGGGACUGAGGUCCGCGCUUCGGCUAGGAUGCUGGCGUAAUGGUUGUAAGCGACCCGUCUUGAAACACGGAC
RNAcentral lists this ribosomal RNA (617 nucleotides) under Aureobasidium iranianum. RNAcentral's name for it is "eukaryotic LSU rRNA". It matches the Rfam family "Eukaryotic large subunit ribosomal RNA", at positions 36 to 666 of the family's 3401-position model. Lineage: Eukaryota; Fungi; Ascomycota; Dothideomycetes; Dothideales; Saccotheciaceae. The record is from RNAcentral.